This 33-nucleotide non-coding RNA is filed under the name Paenibacillus stellifer. The record is from RNAcentral. Lineage: Bacteria; Bacillati; Bacillota; Bacilli; Caryophanales; Paenibacillaceae.
CUCUGGGUCCGCAUGAGGCUCAGGGCAAAAGAG